Molecule: ribosomal RNA, 484 nt
Filed under: uncultured bacterium
Lineage: Bacteria
Description: partial 16S ribosomal RNA
Rfam family: Bacterial small subunit ribosomal RNA
Source: RNAcentral
AUUGAACGCCGGCGGCAUGCUUUACACAUGCAAGUCGAACGGCAGCGCGGGCUUCGGCCUGGCGGCGAGUGGCGAACGGGUGAGUAAUGCAUCGGAACGUGCCCAGUAGUGGGGGAUAGCCCGGCGAAAGCCGGAUUAAUACCGCAUACGACCUGAGGGUGAAAGCGGGGGACCGAAAGGCCUCGCGCUAUUGGAGCGGCCGAUGUCGGAUUAGCUAGUUGGUGGGGUAAAGGCUUACCAAGGCGACGAUCCGUAGCUGGUCUGAGAGGACGACCAGCCACACUGGGACUGAGACACGGCCCAGACUCCUACGGGAGGCAGCAGUGGGGAAUUUUGGACAAUGGGGGCAACCCUGAUCCAGCCAUGCCGCGUGCGGGAAGAAGGCCUUCGGGUUGUAAACCGCUUUUGUUCGGGAAGAAAUCCUCUGGGCUAAUACCCCGGGGGGAUGACGGUACCGGAAGAAUAAGCACCGGCUAACUACGUG